RNAcentral lists this ribosomal RNA (492 nucleotides) under uncultured bacterium. RNAcentral's name for it is "partial 16S ribosomal RNA". It matches the Rfam family "Bacterial small subunit ribosomal RNA", at positions 29 to 507 of the family's 1533-position model. The record is from RNAcentral.
AGUGAACGCUGGCGGUAGGCCUAACACAUGCAAGUCGAACGGCAGCACAGUAAGAGCUUGCUCUUACGGGUGGCGAGUGGCGGACGGGUGAGGAAUACAUCGGAAUCUACUUUUUCGUGGGGGAUAACGUAGGGAAACUUACGCUAAUACCGCAUACGACCUACGGGUGAAAGCAGGGGAUCUUCGGACCUUGCGCGAUUGAAUGAGCCGAUGUCGGAUUAGCUAGUUGGCGGGGUAAAGGCCCACCAAGGCGACGAUCCGUAGAUGGUCUGAGAGGAUGAUCAGCCACACUGGAACUGAGACACGGUCCAGACUCCUACGGGAGGCAGCAGUGGGGAAUAUUGGACAAGGGGCGCAAGCCUGAUCCAGCCAUACCGCGUGAGUGAAGAAGGCCUUCGGGUUGUAAAGCCCUUUUGUUGGGAAAGAAAAGCAGCAGGUUAAUACCCCGCUGUUCUGACGGUACCCAAAGAAUAAGCACCGGCUAACUUCGUG